Molecule: long non-coding RNA, 335 nt
Filed under: Brassica napus (rape)
Lineage: Eukaryota; Viridiplantae; Streptophyta; Magnoliopsida; Brassicales; Brassicaceae
Description: long non-coding RNA (BNAP_LNC015793)
Source: RNAcentral
UUGAUGUUUCAUGGUUUAGGGUUUAGAGUUGAUGAUUUAAGGUUUAAAGUUGAUGUUUUAAGUUUAGAUUUAGGGUUUAGGGUUUACGUUUAGGGUUUAGAGUUGAUGUUUUAGGGUUUAGAUUUGAAGUUUUAGGGUUUAGGGUUUAGAGUUGAUGUUUCGGAGUUUAGGGUUUAGAGUUGAUGAUUUAGAGUUUAGAGUUGAUGUUUUAAGUUUAGAUUAGUUAACCGUAUGUUUUUUUUUGUCAAAGGUAAUCAAAAGGUUAUAAAUGUCUUUUACCCUUCAUUAAAGAUGAGGGUAAAAGUGGUUAGUAUAAACAUGAAAAGUGGUACUUU